This 783-nucleotide long non-coding RNA is filed under the name Homo sapiens (human). RNAcentral describes it as "HSALNT0288268". The record is from RNAcentral. Lineage: Eukaryota; Metazoa; Chordata; Mammalia; Primates; Hominidae.
GUGAUAUAACUCUUCUCUAGGAUUUGCCUACAGGGUGCUUUGUGACAUAUCCCUGCAAUGAUCACCCAGGUGAUGUACCACUUGUCAAAGCUCUGCCUACAGGGACAUUGCGAUGUAUCUCUGCACUGAUCACCUAGGUCAUGUAACCGUUGUCUAGGCUCUGCCUACAGUGGCAUUGUGACAUAUCUCUGCACUGAUCACCCGAGUGAUGUAACUCUUCUCCAGGAUCUGCCUAACGGGACUUUGUGACAUAACUCUGCACUGAUCAUCCAGGUGAUGGGGCUUUUGUCUAGGAUCUGCCUAAGGGGGCAUUGUGACAUAUUUCUGCACUGAUCACCCAGGUGAUGGACUCUUGUCUUGGAUCUGCCUAUGGGGGCAUUGUGACAUAUCUCUGCACUGAUCACCCAGGUGAUGUAACUGUUGUAUAAGCUCUGCCUACAGGGUAAUUGUGAGAGAUCUCGCCACUGAUCAACCAACUGUUGUAACUAUUGUCUAGGCUUUGCCUACAGGGGGCUUUGUGACAUAUAUUUGCACUGAUCACCCAGGAGAUGUAACUUUUGUCUAGGCUCGGCCUACAGGGGCUUUGUGACAUAUUUCUGCACUGAUCACCCAGGAGAUGUAACACUUGUUUAGGCUCUGCCUACAGGUGCUCUGUGACAUAUGUCUGUACUGAUCACCCAGGUGAUGUAACUCUUGUCUAGGCUCCACCUACAGGGUGUAUUGUGACGUAUCUCUGCACUGAUCAACCAGGUGAUGUAACAUUUUUCUAGGCUCUGCCUACAG